This 1827-nucleotide long non-coding RNA is filed under the name Equus asinus (donkey). Its description in RNAcentral is "lncRNA (ENSEASG00005033395.1)". The record is from RNAcentral. Lineage: Eukaryota; Metazoa; Chordata; Mammalia; Perissodactyla; Equidae.
AUUCCCUGUCCUUCAGUGACCUUCCUUCUCUGUUUCCCUACAUCUCUCUGGAGGGAUAUCUGAUUAAUAAUGAGGAGCUGGAGAUUUCUCUGGGCCUGGGAAUGGAGCCAGUAGUUUCCUAUCCAGGGUUGUCAUUGAGAUCGUCUGGGAUCUGCAAAGGAAGAAAAUAGGAGGAAGAGCAAGAAAGUGGAGCAUCAGUGGCUGGAGUCUCCGGCAAAUUGCUGAAGAGCUUCUGUUCUUCGUUUGCUUACGUUCUGGAUCGGGUGUGGACCUUCGGCAGCGUCGUCAGAUACAAAGGGGCCAGGGACAGACUGAAGAGAAAUCCUUGUUGUCUUUCUGUUUGGAGGUAUUUUGUUGUUGUUUGCUUUUUCCAGAACUUUUGUUUCCAUUUAGGCCUUGUGGUGACCCCUAAUGAUCUCGCCCCAGUAUUCCCCUCCUUGCAUCGUUUCCUUCCCACGUUGGGUCAGGAUUUCUCUGUGUGACCAAUAGAGUACAGCAGUGUUGGUUGUAAAAGGCACUGUACUUCUACCUUGCUCUGUGUUUUGGAUGGAUCACCGAUGGAAGCUGGCUGCCAUGAUGUGAAGACUCUUGAGCAGCUCUAUGAAGACGUCUUGGUGGAGGGGGACUGAGAGCUCCAGCCAGGGACUAGGUAAAGCAGAUGCUCCAUUCCCUUCAGAUGAUUGCAGCCACGGCCAGCUCCUGAUGCAACCUCAUGGAGAGGCUCUGAGUCAGAACACCCACCCUGCAGGUAGCCUUCCUGAGUGGCGCUGGCGUGAUUUCAGGGCUGGAAGCAAGCAUAAACAAGAAAUGAGUCAGCUUUUCUCAGCCCGUGAGAAUUAUCAACACCAACAUGAUUCUGAAGGCAUCAGGGGAAGAAGAUGUAUCUCUUUAUCACGUGUUUAUCCUGCUGCUUUUCGUAUUAAUAUUGACUGUGAUAAUUACCUGCUUUCUUUCUCCCAAAUUCACAUCACGUAUUAAUAAGAAGAAAAUAUAAGUAUAUUUUUUUCCUUUUCUCAUAUAAACAUACUGAUGUAUAGAACUAUACCAUAACAUAAUGGUCUAUGAAGGAAGAGGAGCCCUGGGAAUAGAUAAAAAAGAUAAAAAGUCUAUAAAGUAAGAGACAUUGUGAAGAGAAAGAGGAAAUAAUGGCAGUCUCUGCCUUUGAAGUGAAUUGACUGCCCUGUCCUUGAGUCGAGAAUUUUGUGAUAUGAGCCAAAGUGGAAAUAUGGGCUUGGCAUGACCCUUGGGUUUUCAGAAGAUAGCAUCUGAAGCAGGCGAGGAUGCAAAUACCCUUCCUGACCUUGUAUAUAGAUAUCAUACAGCAUUUUUGGUUCCUGGUACUUCUUUAAGCAGCUUUAUCUUAAGAGUGCUUGCCUAGUAUUUCAGAUACUCUUAGAAUCGAUAGGAGAUUUCCAUUUCCACGAUGUUAUUUUGACUGCUGGGCAGCAACUAGAGAGAAGGAAGAAAAGGAAGGAAGCAGGGAGACCGUUUAGGAGGCUAUUGAAAUAAUCCAGAUGAGAGAUGACAGCGUCUUGGAAUAGAGUGGGGAUGGGUAAGAAGUCACCAAAUUCUGGGUACAUUUUUAAAGCAUAUCUAGAAGGAUUUCUUGGUGGAGUAAAUGUGGAAAAGAGAAAUGUCAAAGAUUUCUCUGAAGUUUUCAUUCUGAGCAAAGUGUGUGAUGACAUAGACUGAGGGACAAGCAGGUUUGGGUGGGGUGGUGAAAAUCAGAAGUUCAGCCUUAAUCAUGUUAGGCUCAAGAUGCCUGUUAGACGGCCGUGUAGCCAUGCCGAGUAGGUGGCUGGAUACAGGACCCGGAAUCAAGGGGAG